This 774-nucleotide ribosomal RNA is filed under the name Acinetobacter sp. G7. RNAcentral describes it as "bacterial SSU rRNA". It matches the Rfam family "Bacterial small subunit ribosomal RNA", at positions 56 to 823 of the family's 1533-position model. Lineage: Bacteria; Pseudomonadati; Pseudomonadota; Gammaproteobacteria; Moraxellales; Moraxellaceae. The record is from RNAcentral.
UGCAGUCGAGCGGGGGAGGUUGCUUCGGUAACUGACCUAGCGGCGGACGGGUGAGUAAUACUUAGGAAUCUGCCUAUUAAUGGGGGACAACAUCUCGAAAGGGAUGCUAAUACCGCAUACGCCCUACGGGGGAAAGCAGGGGAUCACUUGUGACCUUGCGUUAAUAGAUGAGCCUAAGUCGGAUUAGCUAGUUGGUGGGGUAAAGGCCUACCAAGGCGACGAUCUGUAGCGGGUCUGAGAGGAUGAUCCGCCACACUGGGACUGAGACACGGCCCAGACUCCUACGGGAGGCAGCAGUGGGGAAUAUUGGACAAUGGGGGGAACCCUGAUCCAGCCAUGCCGCGUGUGUGAAGAAGGCCUUAUGGUUGUAAAGCACUUUAAGCGAGGAGGAGGCUCUCUUGGUUAAUACCCAAGAUGAGUGGACGUUACUCGCAGAAUAAGCACCGGCUAACUCUGUGCCAGCAGCCGCGGUAAUACAGAGGGUGCGAGCGUUAAUCGGAUUUACUGGGCGUAAAGCGUGCGUAGGCGGCUUUUUAAGUCGGAUGUGAAAUCCCCGAGCUUAACUUGGGAAUUGCAUUCGAUACUGGGAAGCUAGAGUAUGGGAGAGGAUGGUAGAAUUCCAGGUGUAGCGGUGAAAUGCGUAGAGAUCUGGAGGAAUACCGAUGGCGAAAGGCAGCCAUCUGGCCCUAAUACUGACGCUGAGGUACGAAGCAUGGGGAGCAAACAGGAUUAAAUACCCUGGUAGUCCAUGCCGUAACGAUGUCUACUAGCAGU